Molecule: small nuclear RNA, 107 nt
Organism: Hyaena hyaena (striped hyena)
Lineage: Eukaryota; Metazoa; Chordata; Mammalia; Carnivora; Hyaenidae
Source: RefSeq, a predicted model, not a curated record
GUGCUCCCUUUGGCAGCACAUAUACCAAAAUUGGAACAAUACAGAGAAAAUUAGCAUGGCCCCUGCACAAGGGUGACAUGCAAAAUCAUGAAGCAUCCCUUAUUUUU